Molecule: ribosomal RNA, 108 nt
Filed under: Staphylococcus pseudintermedius
Lineage: Bacteria; Bacillati; Bacillota; Bacilli; Caryophanales; Staphylococcaceae
Source: RNAcentral
UCUGGUGCCAAUGGCAAAGAGGUCACACCUGUUCCCAUGCCGAACACAGAAGUUAAGCUCUUUAGCGCCGAUGGUAAAGCUUCGAAGCAAUCAUUAUUGUUUCGGGGC